This 2902-nucleotide ribosomal RNA is filed under the name Klebsiella pneumoniae. RNAcentral's name for it is "23S ribosomal RNA". It matches the Rfam family "Bacterial large subunit ribosomal RNA". Lineage: Bacteria; Pseudomonadati; Pseudomonadota; Gammaproteobacteria; Enterobacterales; Enterobacteriaceae. The record is from RNAcentral.
GGUUAAGCGACUAAGCGUACACGGUGGAUGCCCUGGCAGUCAGAGGCGAUGAAGGACGUGCUAAUCUGCGAAAAGCGUCGGUAAGGUGAUAUGAACCGUUAUAACCGGCGAUGUCCGAAUGGGGAAACCCAGUGCAAUUCGUUGCACUAUCGUUAACUGAAUACAUAGGUUAACGAGGCGAACCGGGGGAACUGAAACAUCUAAGUACCCCGAGGAAAAGAAAUCAACCGAGAUUCCCCCAGUAGCGGCGAGCGAACGGGGAGCAGCCCAGAGUCUGAAUCAGCUUGUGUGUUAGUGGAACGGUCUGGAAAGUCCGACGGUACAGGGUGAUAGUCCCGUACACCAAAAUGCACAGGCUGUGAACUCGAAGAGUAGGGCGGGACACGUGGUAUCCUGUCUGAAUAUGGGGGGACCAUCCUCCAAGGCUAAAUACUCCUGACUGACCGAUAGUGAACCAGUACCGUGAGGGAAAGGCGAAAAGAACCCCGGCGAGGGGAGUGAAAAAGAACCUGAAACCGUGUACGUACAAGCAGUGGGAGCACCUUCGGGUGUGACUGCGUACCUUUUGUAUAAUGGGUCAGCGACUUAUAUUCUGUAGCAAGGUUAACCGUAUAGGGGAGCCGCAGGGAAACCGAGUCUUAACUGGGCGUUAAGUUGCAGGGUAUAGACCCGAAACCCGGUGAUCUAGCCAUGGGCAGGUUGAAGGUUGGGUAACACUAACUGGAGGACCGAACCGACUAAUGUUGAAAAAUUAGCGGAUGACUUGUGGCUGGGGGUGAAAGGCCAAUCAAACCGGGAGAUAGCUGGUUCUCCCCGAAAGCUAUUUAGGUAGCGCCUCGUGAACUCAUCUUCGGGGGUAGAGCACUGUUUCGGCUAGGGGGUCAUCCCGACUUACCAACCCGAUGCAAACUACGAAUACCGAAGAAUGUUAUCACGGGAGACACACGGCGGGUGCUAACGUCCGUCGUGAAGAGGGAAACAACCCAGACCGCCAGCUAAGGUCCCAAAGUCAUGGUUAAGUGGGAAACGAUGUGGGAAGGCACAGACAGCCAGGAUGUUGGCUUAGAAGCAGCCAUCAUUUAAAGAAAGCGUAAUAGCUCACUGGUCGAGUCGGCCUGCGCGGAAGAUGUAACGGGGCUAAACCAUGCACCGAAGCUGCGGCAGCGACACUAUGUGUUGUUGGGUAGGGGAGCGUUCUGUAAGCCUGCGAAGGUGACCUGUGAGGGUUGCUGGAGGUAUCAGAAGUGCGAAUGCUGACAUAAGUAACGAUAAAGCGGGUGAAAAGCCCGCUCGCCGGAAGACCAAGGGUUCCUGUCCAACGUUAAUCGGGGCAGGGUGAGUCGACCCCUAAGGCGAGGCCGAAAGGCGUAGUCGAUGGGAAACAGGUUAAUAUUCCUGUACUUGGUGUUACUGCGAAGGGGGGACGGAGAAGGCUAUGUUAGCCGGGCGACGGUUGUCCCGGUUUAAGCAUGUAGGCUGGUUAUCCAGGCAAAUCCGGAUAAUCAAGGCUGAGGUGUGAUGACGAGGCACUACGGUGCUGAAGUAACAAAUGCCCUGCUUCCAGGAAAAGCCUCUAAGCAUCAGGUAACAUUGAAUCGUACCCCAAACCGACACAGGUGGUCAGGUAGAGAAUACCAAGGCGCUUGAGAGAACUCGGGUGAAGGAACUAGGCAAAAUGGUGCCGUAACUUCGGGAGAAGGCACGCUGGUGUGUAGGUGAAGCCCCUGCGGGUGGAGCUGAGACCAGUCGAAGAUACCAGCUGGCUGCAACUGUUUAUUAAAAACACAGCACUGUGCAAACACGAAAGUGGACGUAUACGGUGUGACGCCUGCCCGGUGCCGGAAGGUUAAUUGAUGGGGUUAUCCGUAAGGAGAAGCUCUUGAUCGAAGCCCCGGUAAACGGCGGCCGUAACUAUAACGGUCCUAAGGUAGCGAAAUUCCUUGUCGGGUAAGUUCCGACCUGCACGAAUGGCGUAAUGAUGGCCAGGCUGUCUCCACCCGAGACUCAGUGAAAUUGAACUCGCUGUGAAGAUGCAGUGUACCCGCGGCAAGACGGAAAGACCCCGUGAACCUUUACUAUAGCUUGACACUGAACAUUGAGCCUUGAUGUGUAGGAUAGGUGGGAGGCUUUGAAGCGUGGACGCCAGUCUGCGUGGAGCCAACCUUGAAAUACCACCCUUUAAUGUUUGAUGUUCUAACGUUGGCCCCUGACCGGGGUUGCGGACAGUGUCUGGUGGGUAGUUUGACUGGGGCGGUCUCCUCCCAAAGCGUAACGGAGGAGCACGAAGGUUAGCUAAUCCUGGUCGGACAUCAGGAGGUUAGUGCAAUGGCAUAAGCUAGCUUGACUGCGAGCGUGACGGCGCGAGCAGGUGCGAAAGCAGGUCAUAGUGAUCCGGUGGUUCUGAAUGGAAGGGCCAUCGCUCAACGGAUAAAAGGUACUCCGGGGAUAACAGGCUGAUACCGCCCAAGAGUUCAUAUCGACGGCGGUGUUUGGCACCUCGAUGUCGGCUCAUCACAUCCUGGGGCUGAAGUAGGUCCCAAGGGUAUGGCUGUUCGCCAUUUAAAGUGGUACGCGAGCUGGGUUUAGAACGUCGUGAGACAGUUCGGUCCCUAUCUGCCGUGGGCGCUGGAGAAUUGAGGGGGGCUGCUCCUAGUACGAGAGGACCGGAGUGGACGCAUCACUGGUGUUCGGGUUGUCAUGCCAAUGGCACUGCCCGGUAGCUAAAUGCGGAAGAGAUAAGUGCUGAAAGCAUCUAAGCACGAAACUUGCCCCGAGAUGAGUUCUCCCUGAGACUUUAAGUCUCCUGAAGGAACGUUGAAGACGACGACGUUGAUAGGCCGGGUGUGUAAGCGCAGCGAUGCGUUGAGCUAACCGGUACUAAUGAACCGUGAGGCUUAACCUU